GGGCCAGUAGCUUAGUCUGGUGGAGUGCCCGACUGAUAAUCGGGUGGUCCGGAGUUCAAAUGCGGUCACUGACGUUCGG
RNAcentral lists this transfer RNA (79 nucleotides) under Candidatus Woesearchaeota archaeon CG08_land_8_20_14_0_20_43_7. RNAcentral describes it as "tRNA-Ile". RNAcentral also lists the same sequence under 1 other name. Lineage: Archaea; Nanobdellati; Candidatus Woesearchaeota. The record is from RNAcentral.